AGAGUUUGAUCAUGGCUCAGGAUGAACGCUAGCUACAGGCUUAACACAUGCAAGUCGAGGGGAAACGACAUCGAAAGCUUGCUUUUGAUGGGCGUCGACCGGCGCACGGGUGAGUAACGCGUAUCCAACCUGCCCAUCACUUGGGGAUAACCUUGCGAAAGUAAGACUAAUACCCAAUGAUAUCUCUAGAAGACAUCUGAAAGAGAUUAAAGAUUUAUCGGUGAUGGAUGGGGAUGCGUCUGAUUAGCUUGGUUGGCGGGGUAACGCCCACCAAGGCUACGAUCAGUAGGGGUUCUGAGAGGAAGUCCCCCACAUUGGAACUGAGACACGGUCCAAAACUCCUACGGGAGGCA
This 353-nucleotide ribosomal RNA is filed under the name uncultured bacterium. RNAcentral describes it as "bacterial SSU rRNA". It matches the Rfam family "Bacterial small subunit ribosomal RNA", at positions 8 to 350 of the family's 1533-position model. The record is from RNAcentral.